This 406-nucleotide ribosomal RNA is filed under the name uncultured beta proteobacterium. Its description in RNAcentral is "bacterial SSU rRNA". It matches the Rfam family "Bacterial small subunit ribosomal RNA", at positions 9 to 417 of the family's 1533-position model. Lineage: Bacteria; Pseudomonadati; Pseudomonadota; Betaproteobacteria. The record is from RNAcentral.
GAGUUUGAUCUUGGCUCAGAUUGAACGCUGGCGGCAUGCUUUACACAUGCAAGUCGAGCGGCAGCGCGGGGCAACCUGGCGGCGAGCGGCGGACGGGUGAGUAGAGCAUCGGAACGUAUCCCGUAGUGGGGGACAACCCAGCGAAAGCUGGGCUAAUACCGCAUAUGCUCUACGGAGGAAAGUGGGGGACUCGCAAGGGCCUCACGCUAUGGGAGCGGCCGAUGUCCGAUUAGCUAGUUGGUGGGGUAAAGGCCCACCAAGGCGACGAUCGGUAGCUGGUCUGAGAGGAUGAUCAGCCACACUGGGACUGAGACACGGCCCAGACUCCUACGGGAGGCAGCAGUGGGGAAUUUUGGACAAUGGGGGCAACCCUGAUCCAGCCAUGCCGCGUGCGGGAAGAAGGCCU